This is a long non-coding RNA of Gallus gallus (chicken), 439 nucleotides long. Lineage: Eukaryota; Metazoa; Chordata; Aves; Galliformes; Phasianidae. The record is from Ensembl.
CUAAAACCUCAAGUUUUGUUUCUGUUCCAUGUGCCUGGGUACAGGAAAUCCACAGUUUGGAGCCAAACAGGAAGCAGUGUUGUAUAAAACACAACAAGCUGCACAGCAUCACACACCUCAGCAUCUGAGAUAAUUAAGUGGCUGACAGUAAUUGAAAAUAUCCCCGCUUCUUGCACAAAAUCUAGACAGCAACCUUCCUGACCAAGAAGUUUACAGGACUGCCGCUUUGUUGGUGAGGAGGAAACUGAAGCAGUUAUCCAUUACCAGUGCCACAUUCCUUUUCCUAUACAUGCUUUCAGCUGCAAGCUCCAGGUGUAAAAUCAGAAGCUGCGAGCGGUGUUUUCCUCCCGCAUUUUGGGCAGGAGGUGGACCAACCGCACAAUGACAGAUUAUGCAGAUCCUCCCGGAGCAUCUAAUCAAUCACGGUGGCGCGGGAGGG